CGAAUCAUCUGGAAAGAUGAAUCAAAGAAGGUAAUAAUCCUGUAGUCGAAAAUGUUGUCUCUCUUGAGUGGAUCCUGAGUACGACGGAGCACGUGAAAUUCCGUCGGAAUCUGGGAGGACCAUCUCCUAAGGCUAAAUACUCUCUAGUGACCGAUAGUGAACCAGUACCGUGAGGGAAAGGUGAAAAGCACCCCGGAAGGGGAGUGAAACAGAACCUGAAACCGUGUGCUUACAAGUAGUCAGAGCCCGUUAAUGGGUGAUGGCGUGCCUUUUGUAGAAUGAACCGGCGAGUUACGAUUUGAUGCAAGGUUAAGCAGUAAAUGUGGAGCCGUAGCGAAAGCGAGUCUGAAUAGGGCGUUUAGUAUUUGGUCGUAGACCCGAAACCAGGUGAUCUACCCUUGGUCAGGUUGAAGUUCAGGUAACACUGAAUGGAGGACCGAACCGACUUACGUUGAAAAGUGAGCGGAUGAACUGAGGGUAGCGGAGAAAUUCCAAUCGAACCUGGAGAUAGCUGGUUCUCUCCGAAAUAGCUUUAGGGCUAGCCUCAAGUGAUGAUUAUUGGAGGUAGAGCACUGUUUGGACGAGGGGCCCCUCUCGGGUUACCGAAUUCAGACAAACUCCGAAUGCCAAUUAAUUUAACUUGGGAGUCAGAACAUGGGUGAUAAGGUCCGUGUUCGAAAGGGAAACAGCCCAGACCACCAGCUAAGGUCCCAAAAUAUAUGUUAAGUGGAAAAGGAUGUGGCGUUGCCCAGACAACUAGGAUGUUGGCUUAGAAGCAGCCAUCAUUUAAAGAGUGCGUAAUAGCUCACUAGUCGAGUGACACUGCGCCGAAAAUGUACCGGGGCUAAACAUAUUACCGAAGCUGUGGAUUGUCCUUUGGACAAUGGUAGGAGAGCGUUCUAAGGGCGUUGAAGCAUGAUCGUAAGGACAUGUGGAGCGCUUAGAAGUGAGAAUGCCGGUGUGAGUAGCGAAAGACGGGUGAGAAUCCCGUCCACCGAUUGACUAAGGUUUCCAGAGGAAGGCUCGUCCGCUCUGGGUUAGUCGGGUCCUAAGCUGAGGCCGACAGGCGUAGGCGAUGGAUAACAGGUUGAUAUUCCUGUACCACCUAUA
This 1110-nucleotide ribosomal RNA is filed under the name Staphylococcus aureus. RNAcentral's name for it is "partial 23S ribosomal RNA". It matches the Rfam family "Bacterial large subunit ribosomal RNA", at positions 334 to 1452 of the family's 2925-position model. The record is from RNAcentral. Lineage: Bacteria; Bacillati; Bacillota; Bacilli; Caryophanales; Staphylococcaceae.